CUUGUAUAUACAAAAGAAGAAAUUGGUUCAGAAAAACCUUAGAUCUGCAGAAUUUCAGAAUAUGAAAUAUGUAUAGUUCUACUGGAUAUUUUUGGAUUUGCUGUGCUCAGUAUUUUGCUACUGCUCUAAACCUUAUCCCCCCUAUUUGUCUCUCUUAGUCUGUCGCAUGCAUGGAUUUUUGGGGAAACAGGAUGUAUGUGGUAUGGGUUUCAGGGCUUCGUUUCUGGCAUUGGGUCUCUCAUCACUACCUGCCUUAUCUCCCUUGACUGCUGCUUCAAGAUCUGUAGCUUUCGAUACUGUCAGUGGAUUGAGAGAAAGCAUGCCUCUCUGUCUGUGGCUCUGGUGUGGAUCUAUACAUUACUCUGGGCCUCACUUCCUGUUAUUGGCUUUGGUAGUUACCAGCUGCACCAUAAACUGGUAAUGAACCAUAACCAUUAGUAACACUUGUAAAUGAGUCACUAACCUAUUCCCCAAAGAUUAUUUGGUGUUUUGAGAGUGCAUUCUCAAAGGGCGGCAAAUAUAUAGCAUUUACUUUCAAGCAGCUGAAUGUUACUUUACCUACAAACCACUGGAACAUCUAAACCAUCACAGAAAAAAAAAUGUGUUGAUGUGUUCACUUAA
Long non-coding RNA from Carassius carassius (crucian carp), 621 nucleotides. RefSeq lists it as uncharacterized. The transcript is spliced from 2 exons. NCBI's taxonomy places the organism in Eukaryota, Metazoa, Chordata, Actinopteri, Cypriniformes, Cyprinidae. The record is from RefSeq and is a predicted model, not a curated record.